GCCCUCUAAGGAUCGCACCUGGAGAGUUUCCAGUGCUCUAUCAGUCUCAGCUACAGGAGGAAGAGUCAAGCAGAGGCCUACCCAUUCCAUUCCUAGCUUGGCGGAUGGCUAGCAAGUGGAAUGCAAUCUGCUAGAAGU
This is a small nucleolar RNA of Ornithorhynchus anatinus (platypus), 138 nucleotides long. The record is from RefSeq and is a predicted model, not a curated record. NCBI's taxonomy places the organism in Eukaryota, Metazoa, Chordata, Mammalia, Monotremata, Ornithorhynchidae.